Molecule: ribosomal RNA, 404 nt
Filed under: uncultured bacterium
Lineage: Bacteria
Description: bacterial SSU rRNA
Rfam family: Bacterial small subunit ribosomal RNA
Source: RNAcentral
GAUGAACGCUAGCGGCAGGCUUAAUACAUGCAAGUCGUGGGGCAACAUGAGUAGCAAUACUUGAUGGCGACCGGCAAAACGGGUGAGGAACACGUACACAACCUUCCUUCAAGCGGGGAAUAGCCCAGAGAAAUUUGGAUUAAUACCCCCAUAAUAUAUUUGAUAAGGCAUCUUAUUAAUAUUAAAAGCUUCGGCACUUGAUGAUGGGUGUGCGGCUGAUUAGAUAGUUGGCGGGGUAACGGCCCACCAAGUCUACGAUCAGUAGCUGAUGUGAGAGCAUGAUCAGCCACACGGGCACUGAGACACGGGGCCCCGAUCCUACGGGAGGCAGCAGUAAGGAAUAUUGGACAAUGGACGAAAGUCUGAUCCAGCCAUGCCGCGUGAGUGAAGAAGGCCCUCGGGUU